RNAcentral lists this ribosomal RNA (459 nucleotides) under uncultured bacterium. Its description in RNAcentral is "partial 16S ribosomal RNA". It matches the Rfam family "Bacterial small subunit ribosomal RNA", at positions 338 to 795 of the family's 1533-position model. The record is from RNAcentral.
CCUACGGGAGGCAGCAGUGAGGAAUAUUGGUCAAUGGUCGGGAGACUGAACCAGCCAAGCCGCGUGAGGGAUGAAGGUACAGAGUAUCGUAAACCUCUUUUGUCAGGGAACAAAGGCGGGGACGUGUCCCCGGAUGAGUGUACCUGAAGAAAAAGCAUCGGCUAACUCCGUGCCAGCAGCCGCGGUGAUACGGGGGAUGCGAGCGGUAUACGGAUUUAUUGGGUUAAAAGGGUGCGCAGUCGGGCUGUUAAGUCAGCGGUCAAAGCCCGGGGCUCAACCCCGGCCCGCCGUUGAAACUGGCAGGCUCGAGUUGGAGAGAAGUAUGCGGAAUGCGCGGUGUAGCGGUGGAAUGCAUAGAUAUCGCGCAGAACUCCGAUUGCGAAGGCAGCAUGCCGGCUCCACACUGACGCUGAGGCACGAAAGCGUGGGUAUCGAACAGGAUUAGAUACCCCUGUAGUC